Molecule: transfer RNA, 76 nt
Filed under: Abditibacteriota bacterium
Lineage: Bacteria; Pseudomonadati; Abditibacteriota
Description: tRNA-Asn
Rfam family: tRNA
About the family: Transfer RNA (tRNA) molecules are approximately 80 nucleotides in length. Their secondary structure includes four short double-helical elements and three loops (D, anti-codon, and T loops). Further hydrogen bonds mediate the characteristic L-shaped molecular structure. tRNAs have two regions of fundamental functional importance: the anti-codon, which is responsible for specific mRNA codon recognition, and the 3' end, to which the tRNAs corresponding amino acid is attached (by aminoacyl-tRNA synthetases). tRNAs cope with the degeneracy of the genetic code in two manners: having more than one tRNA (with a specific anti-codon) for a particular amino acid; and 'wobble' base-pairing, i.e. permitting non-standard base-pairing at the 3rd anti-codon position.
Source: RNAcentral
UCCUCGAUAGCUCAAUCGGCAGAGCAUUUGACUGUUAAUCAAAGGGUUCCUGGUUCAAGUCCAGGUCGAGGAGCCA